Molecule: ribosomal RNA, 425 nt
Filed under: uncultured bacterium
Lineage: Bacteria
Description: partial 16S ribosomal RNA
Rfam family: Bacterial small subunit ribosomal RNA
Source: RNAcentral
GUGGGGAAUAUUGGACAAUGGGCGCAAGCCUGAUCCAGCCAUGCCUCGUGAGUGAUGAAGGCCCUAGGGUUGUAAAGCUCUUUCACCGGAGAAGAUAAUGACGGUAUCCGGAGAAGAAGCCCCGGCUAACUUCGUGCCAGCAGCCGCGGUAAUACGAAGGGGGCUAGCGUUGUUCGGAUUUACUGGGCGUAAAGCGCACGUAGGCGGAUCGUUAAGUCGGGGGUGAAAUCCUGGAGCUCAACUCCAGAACUGCCUUCGAUACUGGCGAUCUUGAGUCCGGAAGAGGUGAGUGGAACUCCUAGUGUAGAGGUGGAAUUCGUAGAUAUUAGGAAGAACACCAGUGGCGAAGGCGGCUCACUGGUCCGGUACUGACGCUGAGGUGCGAAAGCGUGGGGAGCAAACAGGAUUAGAUACCCCAGUAGUCC